AGACGCAGUCGGGCGGCCGCGUGUCGGUGUGUUGUUCCCGGCAUGAGGAAAGUCCGAGCACGGGAGGACACGAUGGUGGGUCACGCCCACCCGCCCGAACAGACUCGCAAGAGUGCGGUCGCGGGCGAGGGAAAGUGCCACAGAAAGCAAACCGCCGAUGGUCGCGUGUUCGGCUUGCCGACGCUCGACACAGGCAAGGGUGAAAGGGUGCGGUAAGAGCGCACCGCCCGGCGGGUGACCGUCGGGGCAUGGCAAACCCCAUCGCGUGCAAGCCCAAGCAGAAUCCCGCAGUUGCCUUCGGGCGGCUGCGUCCCUGGUCCGGGGAUCGUGGGUUCGGGUAGGGUGCAGGGGAGCGUGCUCCCCCCCGCUGCCAGCAACGGCACGGGCAGAGAAAUGGUCGCCCGCAUCGGCAGGUCGAGCAAUCGAAACCACCGAGGCGACAGAACUCGGCUUACAGACUGCGUCCGGCC
Molecule: RNase P RNA, 470 nt
Filed under: Phycisphaeraceae bacterium
Lineage: Bacteria; Pseudomonadati; Planctomycetota; Phycisphaerae; Phycisphaerales; Phycisphaeraceae
Description: RNase P RNA component class A
Rfam family: Bacterial RNase P class A
About the family: Ribonuclease P (RNase P) is a ubiquitous endoribonuclease, found in archaea, bacteria and eukarya as well as chloroplasts and mitochondria. Its best characterised activity is the generation of mature 5'-ends of tRNAs by cleaving the 5'-leader elements of precursor-tRNAs. Cellular RNase Ps are ribonucleoproteins.
Source: RNAcentral